GGUGCGAAGAGCACUUUCCUGUGACGGUACCACCGAAGGAAGCACCGUCCAUAUUCCGUGCCAGCAGCCGCGGUAAGACAGAAGGUGCAAGCUUUGCUCAGAUUCUCUGGGCGUAAAGGGUGCAUACGCGGCUUCGUGAGUCGGCUGUGAAAGCUGCGGUCUCAGCCUGAGAAGGGCGGUCGAUACUGCGCAUCUGGAGUGCCAGAGGGAGAGAGUGGAAUUCCUGGUGUAGCGGAGAUAUGCGUAGAUAUUAAGAAGAAUACCGGUGGAGAGAGCGACUCUCUGGACUGCUACUGACUCAGAGGCACAAAAGCGUGGAGAGCAAACGAGAUUAUAUACUGUGGUAGUACACGCCGUAAAUGAGUGCACUAGGUGUCGGGGGUAUCCACUC
Molecule: ribosomal RNA, 391 nt
Filed under: uncultured bacterium
Lineage: Bacteria
Description: bacterial SSU rRNA
Rfam family: Bacterial small subunit ribosomal RNA
Source: RNAcentral